GAACGCACAUUGCGCCCCUUGGUAUUCCGAGGGGCAUGCCUGUUCGAGCGUCAUUACACCACUCAAGCUAUGCUUGGUAUUGGGCGUCGUCCUUAGUUGGGCGCGCCUUAAAGACCUCGGCGAGGCCACUCCGGCUUUAGGCGUAGUAGAAUUUAUUCGAACGUCUGUCAAAGGAGAGGAACUCUGCCGACUGAAACCUUUAUUUUUCUAGGUUGACCUCGGAUCAGGUAGGGAUACCCGCUGAACUUA
RNAcentral lists this unclassified non-coding RNA (249 nucleotides) under Aureobasidium pullulans. RNAcentral's name for it is "sequence contains 5.8S rRNA gene". The stretch from base 1 to 53 matches the Rfam family "5.8S ribosomal RNA", at positions 102 to 154 of the family's 154-position model. Lineage: Eukaryota; Fungi; Ascomycota; Dothideomycetes; Dothideales; Saccotheciaceae. The record is from RNAcentral.